RNAcentral lists this transfer RNA (74 nucleotides) under Pararhodobacter aggregans. It matches the Rfam family "tRNA". From Rfam's summary of the family: Transfer RNA (tRNA) molecules are approximately 80 nucleotides in length. Their secondary structure includes four short double-helical elements and three loops (D, anti-codon, and T loops). Further hydrogen bonds mediate the characteristic L-shaped molecular structure. tRNAs have two regions of fundamental functional importance: the anti-codon, which is responsible for specific mRNA codon recognition, and the 3' end, to which the tRNAs corresponding amino acid is attached (by aminoacyl-tRNA synthetases). tRNAs cope with the degeneracy of the genetic code in two manners: having more than one tRNA (with a specific anti-codon) for a particular amino acid; and 'wobble' base-pairing, i.e. permitting non-standard base-pairing at the 3rd anti-codon position. The record is from Rfam by way of RNAcentral. RNAcentral also lists the same sequence under 1 other name. Lineage: Bacteria; Pseudomonadati; Pseudomonadota; Alphaproteobacteria; Rhodobacterales; Paracoccaceae.
GGUCCCGUAGCUCAGCUGGAUAGAGCGGCUGCCUUCUAAGCAGUUGGUCAGGGGUUCGAGUCCUCUCGGGAUCG